RNAcentral lists this ribosomal RNA (447 nucleotides) under uncultured bacterium. Its description in RNAcentral is "partial 16S ribosomal RNA". It matches the Rfam family "Bacterial small subunit ribosomal RNA", at positions 29 to 523 of the family's 1533-position model. The record is from RNAcentral.
AGCGAACGCUGGCGGCAGGCUUAACACAUGCAAGUCGAACGCCCCGCACGGGGAGUGGCAGACGGGUGAGUAACACGUGGGAACGUACCCUUUGGUUCGGAAUAACAUGGGGAAACUCAAGCUAAUACCGGAUAAGCCCUUAUGGGGAAAGGUUUACUGCCGAAGGAUCGGCCCACGUCUGAUUAGCUAGUUGGUGAGGUAAUGGCUCACCAAGGCGACGAUCAGUAGCUGGUCGGGGAGGAUGAGCAGCCACACUGGGGCUGAGACGCGGCCCAGACUCCUACGGGAGGCAGCAGUGAGGAAUAUUGGACAAUGGGGGCAACCCUGAUCCAGCCAUGCCGCGUGAGUGAUGAAGGCCUUAGGGUUGUAAGGCUCUUUUACCCGGGACGAUAAUGACUGUACCGGGAGAAUAAGCCCCGGCUAACUUCGUGCCAGCCGCCGCCGUAA